RNAcentral lists this transfer RNA (77 nucleotides) under Acidithiobacillus caldus. Its description in RNAcentral is "tRNA-Ile". It matches the Rfam family "tRNA". Rfam says of the family: Transfer RNA (tRNA) molecules are approximately 80 nucleotides in length. Their secondary structure includes four short double-helical elements and three loops (D, anti-codon, and T loops). Lineage: Bacteria; Pseudomonadati; Pseudomonadota; Acidithiobacillia; Acidithiobacillales; Acidithiobacillaceae. The record is from RNAcentral.
GGGCCUGUAGCUCAGCUGGUCAGAGCAGGGGACUCAUAAUCCCUUGGUCCUCGGUUCGAAUCCGAGCGGGCCCACCA